This 68-nucleotide transfer RNA is filed under the name Cavia porcellus (domestic guinea pig). It matches the Rfam family "tRNA". Rfam says of the family: Transfer RNA (tRNA) molecules are approximately 80 nucleotides in length. The record is from Rfam by way of RNAcentral. Lineage: Eukaryota; Metazoa; Chordata; Mammalia; Rodentia; Caviidae.
GCCUUAGUGCAAUAGGCAGCUCAUCAGUCUCAUAAUCUGAAGGCCUGAGUUUGCCCCUCAGAGAGGCA